GAAAUAUAGAUAAAUUAAAGCUUCUUGAAGUAAGACUAGAAUAUAAGAAAGGUGUUGUUAAGAAUGAGCAAGGCCUCUCUUUUGCAUUCAUAUAUUCUAUCUACUAAAAAACUACAUAGUAAUGUUUUAUAGGCUAUAUGACAUGUGUCCAACUUGUUGGACACGUGACUAAUUUAUAAGAUAGGUUUCCAACAUGUAUGCCAUGUAACCAACUAAUAAUACAAAUGGCUAAAAUAUGCAACAUGUUGCCAACUCAUUGGCCUAGUUUUUAACCUACCAAUCACUUAUAAAUAUAUGUGAAGUCAAUAAAGCUUCCAAGAAGCUUCUCAAGAAGAUAUUAAUAAUUUAAUCUACUUGUAAUUUUUUUUAAUUAUUUUUUAUCCAAAUAAAUAUAGUAGUGAAUAUGGAUGUUUAUUACAUCAUCAUGUUUUAAACUUCUUUUUAUAAUGAAAUAGUUGAAUAUGAAAAAAUAUUCUUAUUUAAUUUUAUAUGGACUAUAAUCAAGGUUUUUAAGUUAAAUAAAUAUUUUUAAAUGAAGAAUUCUUUUUUCUGUUUUUUUUAGUAAAAUAAAAAUAAUGAUAAUAAUCUUUCAUUAUUUUUUGUUUUGUGAUAUUACACCAUUAAGAAAAAAAAUUGAUAUAAAGUCAAAAAAUUUACACCUAUAUAUCAUUGAAUGUCUUGAAUUUCUAGAAUUAUUUUUUUUCAUUGUUUUAAGUCUAUGAAGAUCUUUAAUUAGAAAAAUAUUAUUUUAUUUCAGUUAAUUUUUAAAAUGUAGAUAAUAUUUUUUUCUUACUCAUUAAAAAAUAAAAUUUAUGUAAAGAACUUACCUCUCUAUAAUGCCAUGUUAAAAGACCAAGAAUUGAAACUUUUAUUUGUUGCUCCUACAAUGUUCAGCAAUAACUAAUUAUAACAUCUUAUAUCAUGAGUAAUUUCUUCUUCUAUCCCAAUUUAAAAGACCAAUGAUUUUUAAAAUAAUUCAUGAAUCCAGUAAGUCUUCUUCUCGAAUUACUUCUUUGAUUUUAUUGUUCCUUACUGUGGAUAUAUGAGUUUUUUCUUUAGUGGAUAUUUUGCUAGUUACAAAUUUUUCUUUUUUCUUUUUCUUUAGAGAAUCUUUUAAAUUUUUAUUUAUUUAUUUCUCUAAAAAUCUUAUAAAAUUCUUAUGAUAUUCGUGAAUCUUGAUGCAAUCUGUAAAAUCCUUAAUAAAGAGGAUACAUUAAAUUGGCAUUUUACUAUAGAAAAGAAAUAAAAUUUUUAGAUAGAAAAUAUCACUUAGAAUUUUUUUAUUUCUCUUCUAAUUACUCUAUGGUAUAUAUAUAUAUAUAUAUAUAUAUAUAUAUAUAUAUAAAUAAAUAAAUAUAUAGAUUUAAAUACAAUUCUAGUGGCUUCUUGGCUUAAUUCAAGGACCACUUUAUAAAUUGUAGUUUCUUUUAAGAAGGUCUCAAUUGUCAUAAUUCUUAUCUAUAGUAGUUAAAAUAAAUUUAGUUUUUUUUUUUUCUUUAAUUAAUCAUUGUGAUUUUUUUAUAUCUAUCAAAUAAAUGCCAUUGAAUUUUUUUGAAAUAUUUGUGUUAUAUAAAAAAUAUGUACUUUACAAACCAAAUAUUUUACCUUUAUUAGAAAAAAGCACUAGCUAUGAUGAUUCUUUAAAUUAUUUGAAAGAUUAAUAUAAGAUUGAAAAAAUUAAAAUUUUUUUUUUGAUGAAUUACUGGUCUUCAAUAAAUUUUCGAAAUUUAUUAAAA
RNAcentral lists this long non-coding RNA (1736 nucleotides) under Physcomitrium patens. RNAcentral describes it as "long non-coding RNA (PPAT_LNC013920)". The record is from RNAcentral. Lineage: Eukaryota; Viridiplantae; Streptophyta; Bryopsida; Funariales; Funariaceae.